Molecule: ribosomal RNA, 253 nt
Filed under: uncultured bacterium
Lineage: Bacteria
Description: partial 16S ribosomal RNA
Rfam family: Bacterial small subunit ribosomal RNA
Source: RNAcentral
UACGUAGGGUGCGAGCGUUGUCCGGAAUUAUUGGGCGUAAAGAGCUCGUAGGCGGUUUGUUGCGUCUAUCGUGAAAACCUGCAGCUUAACUGUGGGCUUGCGGUGGAUACGGGCAGACUUGAGUUCGGUAGGGGAGACUGGAAUUCCUGGUGUAGCGGUGAAAUGCGCAGAUAUCAGGAGGAACACCGGAGGCGAAGGCGGGUCUCUGGGCCGAUACUGACGCUGAGGAGCGAAAGCGUGGGGAGCGAACAGG